RNAcentral lists this ribosomal RNA (1349 nucleotides) under Myroides odoratus. RNAcentral describes it as "bacterial SSU rRNA". It matches the Rfam family "Bacterial small subunit ribosomal RNA", at positions 74 to 1428 of the family's 1533-position model. Lineage: Bacteria; Pseudomonadati; Bacteroidota; Flavobacteriia; Flavobacteriales; Flavobacteriaceae. The record is from RNAcentral.
GAGAGCUUGCUUUCUAGAGACCGGCGGAUGGGUGAGUAACGCGUAUGCAACCUACCUUUUACAGGGGAAUAGCCCGGAGAAAUUCGGAUUAAUGCUCCAUGGUUUAUAAGAGUGGCAUCACUUAUAUAAUAAAGAUUUAUCGGUAAAAGAUGGGCAUGCGUAUCAUUAGCUAGUUGGUGUGGUAACGGCAUACCAAGGCGACGAUGAUUAGGGGUCCUGAGAGGGAGAUCCCCCACACUGGUACUGAGACACGGACCAGACUCCUACGGGAGGCAGCAGUGAGGAAUAUUGGUCAAUGGAGGCAACUCUGAACCAGCCAUGCCGCGUGCAGGAUGACGGUCCUAUGGAUUGUAAACUGCUUUUGUACGGGAAGAAAUGUAAUUACGAGUAAUUAUUUGACGGUACCGUAAGAAUAAGGAUCGGCUAACUCCGUGCCAGCAGCCGCGGUAAUACGGAGGAUCCGAGCGUUAUCCGGAAUUAUUGGGUUUAAAGGGUUCGUAGGCGGUUUAGUAAGUCAGUGGUGAAAUCUUGCAGCUUAACUGUAAAAUUGCCGUUGAUACUGCUAAACUUGAAUAGUAUGGAAGUAAUUAGAAUAUGUAGUGUAGCGGUGAAAUGCUUAGAUAUUACAUGGAAUACCAAUUGCGAAGGCAGAUUACUACGUACUUAUUGACGCUGAUGAACGAAAGCGUGGGUAGCGAACAGGAUUAGAUACCCUGGUAGUCCACGCCGUAAACGAUGGAUACUAGCUGUUCGGUCUUCGGAUUGAGUGGCUAAGCGAAAGUGAUAAGUAUCCCACCUGGGGAGUACGUUCGCAAGAAUGAAACUCAAAGGAAUUGACGGGGGCCCGCACAAGCGGUGGAGCAUGUGGUUUAAUUCGAUGAUACGCGAGGAACCUUACCAAGGCUUAAAUGUAGAUUGACAGGUUUAGAGAUAGACUUUUCUUCGGACAAUUUACAAGGUGCUGCAUGGUUGUCGUCAGCUCGUGCCGUGAGGUGUCAGGUUAAGUCCUAUAACGAGCGCAACCCCUAUUGUUAGUUGCCAGCGAGUAAUGUCGGGAACUCUAGCAAGACUGCCGGUGCAAACCGUGAGGAAGGUGGGGAUGACGUCAAAUCAUCACGGCCCUUACGUCUUGGGCUACACACGUGCUACAAUGGCCAGUACAGAAAGCAGCUACCAGGCAACUGGAUGCGAAUCUCAAAAGCUGGUCUCAGUUCGGAUUGGAGUCUGCAACUCGACUCUAUGAAGCUGGAAUCGCUAGUAAUCGGAUAUCAGCCAUGAUCCGGUGAAUACGUUCCCGGGCCUUGUACACACCGCCCGUCAAGCCAUGGAAGCUGGGGGUACCUGAAGUC